GUUAAUAUGACAGGCUGGCAAGCAGGUGGCUAGAGACUUUACUUUGCUGUGGAUAACUUCCAGUGCUGGUGAGUGUGUGGAUUUGAGGAGGAAGGAGGCAAAAGGACUCUGCAAAGGGCUGUCCCAGAUCCCAUGAGGGUGUGUUCUCACUGACCCUUCCUGAUGGCGUCUUUCAGGCCAAGUUCCCUGAUGGUCUGUGCUGUCUCACCUCGGGGUGUGUUUGCAGCAUCAGAGUGAUGGACUGGGGGAAGCCUGGGCAGCAGUAAGCUCCUCCAGCCUUGGUGACCGCUCUGUGUUUUCAGCUAUCUGUCAACACAAACUUACCCUACACAACAUGGUGCUGCAGAAAAGGAGGAGGACAGGACAGGCCCAAGCAAAAAUCAGAGGCUGGAUGUCCACUUUGUGCUAAAGAAUGAGAUUUAAAGUCAAGGAGAACUGCAGUAAUUGUAUUCAAAGGGCAAAGAAAACAGCAGCAUGUUCACCAUGGAAAUAAGCCACCUGAAAAACCAAAUGGAUCCCUGGUGUAAUUUUAUGAGCUUCCGCAAAAUUAGUGCAGGAUCAACAGCAGGCAUUGAAUUGAAAGUUUUCAGGUCAGCAGUGUGUGGGCAUGGGCAAAGCAUUCAAACCCAAGGGGCAGCACAACAUGGAAGGGGGGAGGAAAUUGCUGCUGCUUAUAUUUGCAGAAUAAGGGAGAUGAAGAUGUCCUCCUGUGAGGCUGCACGGGGAACAAUGGUAAAUAAUAGAAAACUGAAAUAUUGGUGGAAUUCCUCUUGCCCCUGGCAUUUUCUGUAGUGCUACAGAGCUCUACAUAACUUAGUUCUCAUCUAUCUGUGAUUUAUUGUAAAAUGUCCUUCUCUUAUACGUUCUCCGUCUCUUCUUAAUGAAGAGACAGGCAUCAUGAGAGUAGUUUGUAAUAGAUUUAUUAGCCAGUCAUAUGCAUUUAAUUAACAUAUAGCACUGUAUUCUACUUACAAGCAAAAAUUAAUAACAAAGAGAAACAGAUGGACAUUUUUGUCUUGCAGAAAAUGAAGGCACACUUAAUUCUCUUUACUGAUGAUGUAAUCCCAGACUGAUCUGCUGCCAGAGGUUUUGGUGUUAAAUUCAUCUGCUGAAUUAUUCAGGGUGUAAAGAGUAUUUGUAUCAAGUUUGCCAACGUAAUGGCAAGCAGCCUGUCUAGGAAGGAUGCAGCUUCAUUCAUGCGCUGGGUGAGCUGUCUGCCUCACCUGCCCUCUCCCUUUCCUCCUCCUGACAGUGUUGUUUAAAGUAUUUUCUUAGUAUAUGGAGAAACCUUACCCAGGAAGCCAGAUAGACAGCAGGGCUGUUCAUGCCAGCAGUAUGUUUGUGCAGGCUGCGUGUGACCCCAGUGAUACUCUGCCAAGGUCAGGUGGAAGUUGGCAAAUCAGUCACACUUACACGGGGCCCCACUGGGAUGGCUCCUCCACCGUGUUAGCAGCUGUGAGCGCUGACUGCAGUAAUACUCUCCCAGGCCUUGCAUGAUGUUACCAGAUAGUUCUUUAGCAUCAUAACUACUUUGAUCUGAUUAAUGCGAAGGUUUCCUCAGGAAUCAGUGGCAGGAUGCUUUGGAGUGUGUGAACCUGUCAUUAAUUAGCUACGGGUGGUCUUUUUGUGUUAGAGCAAUAAUAAAUAUGACUUCAUAUUACUGAAUCCUCCUGGA
RNAcentral lists this long non-coding RNA (1675 nucleotides) under Anas platyrhynchos platyrhynchos (common mallard). Its description in RNAcentral is "lncRNA (ENSAPLG00000028819.1)". Lineage: Eukaryota; Metazoa; Chordata; Aves; Anseriformes; Anatidae. The record is from RNAcentral.